UACAGGGGGGGCAAGCGUUGUUCGGAAUUACUGGGCGUAAAGGGUCUGUAGGUGGCCAACUAAGUCAGACGUGAAAUCCCUCAGCUUAACUGGGGAACUGCGUCUGAUACUGGAUGGCUUGAGUGUGGGAGAGGAAUGCGGAAUUCCAGGUGUAGCGGUGAAAUGCGUAGAUAUCUGGAGGAACACCGGUGGCGAAGGCGGCAUCCUGGACCGGCAUUGACGCUGAGGCGCGAAAGCUAGGGGAGCAAACGGG
Molecule: ribosomal RNA, 253 nt
Filed under: uncultured bacterium
Lineage: Bacteria
Description: partial 16S ribosomal RNA
Rfam family: Bacterial small subunit ribosomal RNA
Source: RNAcentral